GAUGAACGCUGGCGGCGUGCCUAAUACAUGCAAGUCGAGCGAACAGACGAGGAGCUUGCUCCUCUGACGUUAGCGGCGGACGGGUGAGUAACACGUGGAUAACCUACCUAUAAGACUGGGAUAACUUCGGGAAACCGGAGCUAAUACCGGAUAAUAUAUUGAACCGCAUGGUUCAAUAGUGAAAGACGGCUUUGCUGUCACUUAUAGCUGGAUCCCGGCCGCAUUGGCUAGUUGGUAAGGUAACGGCUUACCAAGGCAACGAUGCGUAGCCGACCUGAGAGGGUGAUCGGCCACACGGGAACUGAAACACGGUCCAGAGGCCUACGGUAGGCAGCAGUAGGGAAUCUUCCGCAAUGGGCGAAAGCCUGACGGAGCAACGCCGCGUGAGUGAUGAAGGUCUUCGGUUCGUAAAACUCUGUUAUUAGUGAAGAACAAAUGUGUAAGUAACUAUGCACGUCUUGACGGUACCUAGUCAGAAAGCCACGGCUAACUACGUG
This 497-nucleotide ribosomal RNA is filed under the name uncultured bacterium. RNAcentral describes it as "partial 16S ribosomal RNA". It matches the Rfam family "Bacterial small subunit ribosomal RNA", at positions 28 to 507 of the family's 1533-position model. The record is from RNAcentral.